CUAUACAAUAAUAAAAACAUUAAUGCACAAUUUGUUAUUACCUGGCAAAAAUGGAACCAGCACCCGAUCAAUUGGCAUUCUGGAAUCACUAUUCGUAUUGCAUUUCGCAUGGCUGUUUCAAAAAUCUGAUACAAUACUUACAUUUUGCCAGUCAAAAAUAUCUUCUGGAACUGACUUGAAUUACAAAUGUAAAUUGAAGAAAAUAAAAUUUAAAUAAACUAAAUAUACAGCGUGGAUUGUGAUCAACUGCUCGGCAUCAGCAGGAACUCGCGGAAUAACACCAAAUGUACCAUCAAUUGCCAAGACUCUUGCUUCACGUAGGUAUGGAGCAAUGUGUCGUAUAAAUGUCAAAUUUAAAAAAAUCAAUCCUCCAAAAACCAAUUCUUCAUUGACUACGAACUCCAAGUUUCCAUGGAAGAAUGGUGCAUUAUCGUCUACUGAAUAAAGUAGACGGUUUUGCCAUGUUGGUGACACAAUAAUCUCUCCCAUGGCCCUGAGAUUAUCUGGUGUUGGGGGAUUCACACUUCGUCGCACAUAGCGCAUUGCCCGUAGUGCUUGCUCACGAGACACCUCUAUAGCUGCAUUUGGAAAUCUAAAAAAUUGUUAUUCAUAAUUGUCCGUGCAGGUGUCCCCUCUGUUAAAGCACGCCGUCUCAUUGCAUCGUAGAAUGCCCCAAUCUCUAUAUCAUGCCCUACAUGAUGAUUGUGUGGUUGAUACAUUAGAAUCGGACUAUUUUCUGGAAAUAGUGACAUUGAUGCAGUAGCAGUACAUCCCCGUUCGUAACGCGAACAUCGAAGCUGUCUAUAAGGUU
Molecule: long non-coding RNA, 811 nt
Organism: Aphis gossypii (cotton aphid)
Lineage: Eukaryota; Metazoa; Arthropoda; Insecta; Hemiptera; Aphididae
Exons: 4
Source: RefSeq, a predicted model, not a curated record